GGUAUCCCAGCUGCUAAUUCCCCUCCUAACAGCCCUGCAGCGCCUGGAUUGGAGGUGUGACAGGUGGCAUUUUUGGCCCGAAGUCCCUAGGCAGGACGGGUGGCUGUAGCCUGCGCGUUUGUGUAAAUUAACCUCCCUUUUUAGUUCUGUGAAGGGAGAACGUGAUUAGUUUAAAAUCACCUGCGUGAAAGAGGCUCUUGAUUAGUUUAAAAUCACCCACGUGAAAGGGGCUCUUGAUUAGCUUAAAAUCACCUGGGUGUUUCGUUUUAUCUCAGUUGGCCUCUGAAUGUUUAUCCUACAGCUUCCUGCAAGCUCCAGUCUACCUUCUAAGGGAAUAACGGGGCUCGUCUUUCUACGUUACUUUAUGUGGGAGUAGUUGUAAAACAGAAUGAGGGAGACCGCGGGGAUUGUGCGGAAAUGUAGCCACCGUUUACAUGUCGGGAGGCUGAGGUGGGAGGAUCGCUUGAGCCCAGGAGUUUGACACCAGCCUGGGCAACAUGGUAAGACCCCUUCUCUACCCUCCCCCCCAAAAAAAAAAUUUUAGUGUGGCAUGGUGGUGGGUGCCUGUGGUCCCAGCUACUCGGGACGCUGAGGUGGGAGGAUUGCUUGAGCCCAGGAGUUUGACACCAGCAUGGGCAAUAUGGUAAGACCCCAUUAUCUACAAAAAAAAAAAAAAAAAAAGAAAAGAAAAAUUAGCCGGGCGUGGUGGUGGGUGCCUGUGGUCCCAGCUGCUCGGGACGCUGAGGUGGGAGGAUUGCUUGAGCCCAGGAGUUUGACACCAGCAUGGGCAAUAUGGUAAGACCCCAUUAUCUACAAAAAAAAAAAAAAAAAAGAAAAGCCGGGCGUGGUGGUGGGUGCCUGUGGUCCCAGCUGCUCGGGACGCUGAGGUGGGAGGAUUGCUUGAGCCCAGGAGUUUGACACCAGCAUGGGCAAUAUGGUAAGACCCCAUUAUCUACAAAAAAAAAAAAAAAAGAAAAGCCGGGCGUGGUGGUGGGUGCCUGUGGUCCCAGCUGCUCGGGACGCUGAGGUGGGAGGAUUGCUUGAGCCCAGGAGUUUGACACCAGCAUGGGCAAUAUGGUAAGACCCCAUUAUCUACAAAAAAAAAAAAAAAAGAAAAGCCGGGCGUGGUGGUGGGUGCCUGUGGUCCCAGCUGCUCGGGACGCUGAGGUGGGAGGAUUGCUUGAGCCCAGGAGUUUGACACCAGCAUGGGCAAUAUGGUAAGACCCUAUUAUCUACAAAAAAAAAAAAAAAAAAAAAGAAAGAAAAAUUAGCCUGGUGUGGUGGUGGGUGCCUGUGGUCCCAGCUGCUCGGGACGCUGAGGUGGGAGGAUUGCUUGAGCCCAGGAGUUUGACGCCAGCAUGGGCAAUAUGGUAAGACCCUAUUAUCUACAAAAAAAAAAAAAAAAAAAAAAGAAAGAAAAAUUAGCCUGGUGUGGUGGUGGGUGCCUGUGGUCCCAGCUGCUCGGGACGCUGAGGUGGGAGGAUUGCUUGAGCCCAGGAGUUUGACACCAGCAUGGGCAAUAUGGUAAGACCCCAUUAUCUACAAAAAAAAAAAAAAAAAAGAAAAGCCGGGCGUGGUGGUGGGUGCCUGUGGUCCCAGCUGCUCGGGACGCUGAGGUGGGAGGAUUGCUUGAGCCCAGGAGUUUGACGCCAGCAUGGGCAAUAUGGUAAGACCCUAUUAUCUACAAAAAAAAAAAAAAAAAAAAAAAAAGAAAGAAAAAUUAGCCUGGUGUGGUGGUGGGUGCCUGUGGUCCCAGCUGCUCGGGACGCUGAGGUGGGAGGAUUGCUUGAGCCCAGGAGUUUGACGCCAGCAUGGGCAAUAUGGUAAGACCCUAUUAUCUACAAAAAAAAAAAAAAAGAAAGAAAGAAAGAAAAAUUAGCCUGGUGUGGUGGUGGGUGCCUGUGGUCCCAGCUGCUCGGGACGCUGAGGUGGGAGGAUCACCUGAGCCCAGGAGGUGGAGGCUGCAGUGAGCUUAGAUUGCAGCACUGUGCUCCAGCCUGGGUGACAGAGUGAGACCCCAUCUCAAACAAGAAGCACCAAAAGGUGUCUGAGAUCAGGCACGGUGGCUCACGCCUGUCAUUCCAGCACUUUGGGAGGCCGAGGUGGGUGGAUCACCUGAGGUCAGGCAUUUGAGACCAGCCUGGCCAACAUGGAGAAACACUGACUCUACUAAAUGUGCAAAAAUUAGCCGGGCGUGGUGGCACACACCUGUAGUCCCAGCUACUCCAGAGGCUGAGGUAGGAGAAUUGCUUGAACCUGGGAGGUGGAGGUUGCAGUGAGCUGAGAUUGUACCACUGCACUCCAGCCUGGGAGCUGAGAUUGUACCACUGCACUCCAGCCUGGGCCCUAAAGCGAGAGCUUGACGGUGGGGUGGGGGUGUGGGAUGGACCUUCUGUGGUCCCAGCUACUCGGGAGGCUGAGGUGGGAGGAUCGCUUGAGCCCAGGAGUUUGACACCAGCAUGGGCAACAUGGUAAGAACCCAUAUCUACAAAAAAAAAAUUUAAAAAUUAGCCGGGUGUGGUGUGUGGGUGCCUGUGGUCCCAGCUACACCACGAGUGGAAUUGUGACGUGCACAGCCUGGGUAAAUGGGGUUAGCUAUAUUCACCCUGAAGGGGGCACAUACCCUAUUAUUUCUAACACCACUGAACUCAGAAUCGGGACCCAGAUUCGCCGGGGCAGCGCGGGACGAGGCCUCUCCCGGGCUCCGUCUUCCCUGUUAAUAGACUGAGAGACGGAAUGAGAGCUUCGAAGGUGCUGGGGGAGGAGCAUUGGGUGUCCCCAGGUGGUGAGCUUGGGUGUGUGUGUGUAGCCGACAGUCUCCCAGGCUCAGUAUUCCCUGUUAAUAGACUGAGAGACGGAAUGAGGGCGUCCCCAGGUGGUGAGCUCAGGGACGUGUGUGUGUGUGUGUGUGUGUGUGUGUGUGUGUGUGUGUGUGUAGCCGUCAAUCUCCUGGGCUCCUGGGUUCCGUCUGCCCUGUUCAUAGAGACAGAAUGAGGGCGUCCCCAGGUGGUGAGCUCAGGGACGUUGUGUGUGUGUGUGUGUGUGUGUGUGUGUGUGUGUGUGUGUGUAGCCGUCAAUCUCCUGGGCUCCUGGGUUCCGUCUGCCCUGUUCAUAGAGACAGAAUGAGGGCGUCCCCAGGUGGUGAGCUCAGGGACGUGUGUGUGUGUGUGUGUGUGUGUAACCAUCAAUCUCCUGGGCUCCUGGGUUCCGUCUGCCCUGUUCAUAGGGAUGGAAUGAGGGCGUCCCCAGGUGGUGAGCUCAGGGACGUUGUGUGUGUGUGUGUGUGUGUGUGUAACCAUCAAUCUCCUGGGCUCCUGGGUUCCGUCUGCCCUGUUCAUAGAGACGGAAUGAGGGCGUCCUCAGGUGGUGAGCUCAGGGACGUGUGUGUAGCCAUGAUUAUCCUUUAGUACCUGGUCCCCGUGCCCUCCAAGCCAUCCAAGGGCUUCAGGAGGCCGCGCAGAAGGAGGGUCGGUAAGCGAGUCCACGGACCACCACGCAGGCCCUGACCCCGCCAGGGGCCCUUUGGAGGGUGAGCCCUGCGUGUUGGGGGGAUGAUGGCUCCGGAGGGUGAGCUCUGGGAUGAGAGGGGACGUGCAGGUGGCCGCAUUGCAGACACAGCUGGCUCGGGACCUGGGCGCCAUCUGCCGUCGACUCAGCUCGCUCCUGAGCUGUGCCUCUUCCUUGCCUCACGUUGGAGAUAAAAAGCCAUAGAUGGCCGGGGGCGGUGGCUCAGGCCUGUCAUCCCAGCACUGUGGGAUACCAGCGCAGGAGGGUUGCCUCAGCUCAGGGGUUCGAGACCAGCCUGGCCAGCAUAGCGAGACCCUCUUCUCUG
RNAcentral lists this long non-coding RNA (3832 nucleotides) under Homo sapiens (human). RNAcentral describes it as "non-protein coding LINC00685:3". Lineage: Eukaryota; Metazoa; Chordata; Mammalia; Primates; Hominidae. The record is from RNAcentral.